RNAcentral lists this ribosomal RNA (473 nucleotides) under uncultured bacterium. Its description in RNAcentral is "bacterial SSU rRNA". It matches the Rfam family "Bacterial small subunit ribosomal RNA", at positions 355 to 825 of the family's 1533-position model. The record is from RNAcentral.
UGGGGAAUAUUGCGCAAUGGGGGAAACCCUGACGCAGCGACGCCGCGUGGGUGAUGAAGGCCUUCGGGUCGUAAAGCCCUGUCGUAGGGAAAGAACUGGUUGCAGGCUAAUAUCCUGCAGCCUUGACGGUACCCUACAAGAAAGCACCGGCUAACUCCGUGCCAGCAGCCGCGGUAAUACGGAGGGUGCAAGCGUUGUUCGGAAUUACUGGGCGUAAAGAGCGUGUAGGCGGCUGACCAAGUCCGGUGUGAAAGCCCGGGGCUUACCCCCGGAAGUGCGCCUGAAACUGAUUAGCUUGAGUACGAGAGAGGAGGACGGAAUUCCCAGUGUAGAGGUGAAAUUCGUAGAUAUUGGGAGGAACACCGGUGGCGAAAGCGGUUCUCUGGAUCGAUACUGACGCUAAGACGCGAAAGCGUGGGGAGCAAACAGGAUUAGAUACCCAUGUAGUCCCUGAGCGGGCUGGCAAGGCGCAU